Molecule: unclassified non-coding RNA, 2783 nt
Filed under: Hevea brasiliensis (rubber tree)
Lineage: Eukaryota; Viridiplantae; Streptophyta; Magnoliopsida; Malpighiales; Euphorbiaceae
Source: RNAcentral
UGUACACAAAGAAAAAUGGAGAACUAAAUGAAAAAAAUACAACAUGCACUUUAAGUCAUCCUUUUUCUAUGCUGUCGGAAUGAAGGAUCCGACUACUUAAACAGACUUCCAAGAGCUCAAACUUCAAAUCUGAAAGUUGUUGAAAAUGCUUCACGCCAAGCCACAAACUCUUCCUUGUAUUUGACCUGACCCUUGGCAAGACAGGAGUGUACUACUAUCUUCGUGUCAAUGAUAAUCAGAUCAAAUCAGGGGUGGAGAACCAGUCCAGAAGCAACAAGAACCCUCGAAGAGCUGAAAAUUUCCUUUAGAACCAUCCUAAUGUUGUCAAGUGUAUACUCUAGAAGCUUGAUAUAGUUCCACUUGGCUUCUCCAGCACUCUUCCAGAGAGAUUACACUUCAGCUCGAAGUGUACAAUUAAAUUUGUAGAUCCUUAAGCGCAUUUAGUUUCUCUAAUCUACCAUUUGAUGAAAGAGAAGAAUUUUCACCAGCAUUUAGGCCUACAGCUCCAUUUGCAGGGGAUUUCUGUACCUGAUUGUUAGCUGAACUUUGAAUACCUCCAAAGUAAGUUGAGUGGACAAAGUACUCAGCACAACGAACUUUCCAUCUGGAUGCAGCAUCAUGGUCAACCAGAGUUGUCUCCAGGAGUUUGUGAACUGUCAUGCAGUCGUUCAAUUUCCAUGACCUGACAGUUCCUUUUCCUCCGUCCAUAGAAACAAGAUCAUUAACAGAGUCUUCAAUUAAUUUGACAGCCUCAGCCUUCUUGUUUGGUUCCAGAACAUGUAGCAACUCAGCCACAGCAGCCCUAUGCAUCAAUGAUUCUUUAUGUUUCUCAAGAAAAGUGUUGUUUGCCUCAAUGAGAGAUUUACCAUGCAACUGGCUAAAGGCAGGUCGCUCUGCUUCCAAGACACCCCAGAUGAGCUUUUCAGAAUCAGUUACUAGAGUAGGCAAGGAGUCAACUUUAUGGAAGAACUUCAUCAAGCACAGAUGUGAUUUUGGAUCAUCUGCAUCCAACCGCAUUAAAUGCUUUAUUGCCUGCAAGGCAAGCAAGAUCUUCUGCUUCCUCAUGUUUACGUCAAAGGACAGCAAAUGUGUCUCCAAGAAAUCUGGUGAGUGCUUAAGGAGAAGCUUGAGGUACUUUGAGGCUUCUGCCAGAGGAUCUUCAGUCUGAAUCAAUUUUUCACCAUGUGGAUCAGGAUCUACAGGCUUCACAUGGCGCUUUCCAGAUUUAGUAGCACUAGUUGCAUUGGAUUCCUCAAUUUUGACUUCUGCAUCUUUCUUAGCUCGUGCUUCUGCUUUCCUCAGUUUUUGCUUUAAUUUCUUUUUCUGAGAAGGAGGCAACUUGGACAUUGCAUCAUCCUCUUCAGAUGCUGACUUCAAAGGAGAAUCAUACAGCUUCAGAUAGCAUCUGAUAGCACCACUAGCUGCUUUGCGAAAAUAUGCAUGUGAAUGAAGCCGGUCUUGAAACUUCAACAUUUCCACGUAGGCCCUCAGAGUCAUUUUUCUUAGGCAGUAGGAGUGAAAAUCAAACUGGUCCUCCGUGAUAUCCGCGUAAUGCUUCUCCACUGCCAGAAACUUCUUUAAAGACCUUCCCAGCUCACCUUGGCGAAGAUAACUUUCCCCUGAUGCUAGUUCAUACCACAUGCACUGCAUAUCAUAAAGGUUAUUGUGUUGCUCCCCGUCUUUGGUGAAUAGUACAGCAGUCUUUUCAGCCAAAGUGACCUGAUCUGCCUGAAGCAUGCGCUUAACACAUUCGCUAUUAACAUAUCGAUCAGCAAGAUCCAUACACCUAGCCUCAUCAGCAAGUGCAGCAGCUGCUGCCAAGUCACCAGCAUGCUUUAGUAUGCGGCUCUUGACAGAGUAUAAAUCUAUUACAGUUGGAGUGUGCUCGAUUGCCUCGUCAAUUUUAGUCAGAGCAAUGUCAUACUGUUCACGUCUAUCAUAGUGCUGAGCCAAAUAAAAUAAAGUCCACAUAAGUGUUGAAGGGGGUUCCUUCUCCACUCUCCCAGGGUAUCCACCAGUACUCUUAAGUGAUUGUUCAAGCUUCAAAACUAUUUCCCCUAGAAUAUCAGCCUUGCCAGGAUGAUCAUAUAACGGAUAAAGAUCAGAAAACAAAGAAGGAACCCCUUUUGUCAGAAGAGGUCGAAUAUAAUUAUCUGCAGCUUCUCGAAACUUGUCAUCUUGGAGAAAAUCAAGUGGAAUCCUCUUUACAGCAGAUGAUCUACUAUACUGAUGGGCAAGUACUCUGUACAAAUUUUCUAGUCUAUCAAUUUCAUCAGCGGUAUAUUGCCCCUUUUCAGAAUACAAUCCCAAACAUCUUUGUAAACCAUCAUAGUAUCUGUAAUUGUCAGGAUUCAUUGAGAGAAGCACUCUGAACAAUCUUUCACCUUCUUCAAAGCGGUGAAGCUUCAAAAGAAGUGAAACCUCUUGCUCCUUGUAGCCCAAUUUGUCAAAAAUCUUAGACUCUCUCUUGUGCAACUCUUCAAGGGCCCUCUCAAAAAAACCACAUUCCUCUAACAGAGAGACCUUGUAUAAAAGCAUCUCCCCAUGUUCACACCGUUCAUUUUCUGGAGGAUAAUCAUCUUCAAGAGUCCCUUCAUAUGCCUCGAGGAUGUCAACAGCUUUUGACCCAUUGGAGUUUAAAUGAUGAGAAACAGCAAAGCCUAUCCAAUUCAUGCGAUGAUUUGGCUUCAGAGUGAGCAAUUGCUGUCUUGUUUCAACAAAAACCUUCCAAGUCGCGCAUUUGUGCCUGUAGAAGGGAUAGGUCUCGUAAUAUCUCAAUAUUG